CAGGGUCAGUGAUGAUUAAUUAAGCAUAGUUCAGAUGAUAAUCUGUGAUUAUUAAAUCUUUAGUCUUUCGCUCCUAUCUGAUGACCCAU
Small nucleolar RNA from Pistacia vera, 89 nucleotides. RefSeq annotates it as small nucleolar RNA snR60/Z15/Z230/Z193/J17. NCBI's taxonomy places the organism in Eukaryota, Viridiplantae, Streptophyta, Magnoliopsida, Sapindales, Anacardiaceae. The transcript has a single exon. The record is from RefSeq and is a predicted model, not a curated record.